CCCUUAGAUGUUCUGGGCUGCACACGUGCUACACUGGCAGGUUCAGCGAGCUUCAUGCCCUGAUCUGAAAGGAAUGGGAAAUCUUUUCAAAACCUGCCGUGCUUGGGAUAGAUGUUUGCAAUUAUUCAUCUUCAACGAGGAAUGCCUAGUAAACGCAAGUCAUCAGCUUGCAUUGAUUACGUCCCUGCCCUUUGUACACACCGCCCGUCGCUCCUACCGAUUGAAUGAUCCGAUGAAUAUCAUGGAUUGAGGAUGCAAGCAGGUUCGCCUGUCUUCAUCUUCGAGAAGUGAAGUAAAUCUUAUCAUUUAGAGGAAGGAGAAGUCGUAACA
Molecule: ribosomal RNA, 330 nt
Filed under: uncultured eukaryote
Lineage: Eukaryota
Description: partial 18S ribosomal RNA
Rfam family: Eukaryotic small subunit ribosomal RNA
Source: RNAcentral